Molecule: ribosomal RNA, 486 nt
Filed under: uncultured bacterium
Lineage: Bacteria
Description: partial 16S ribosomal RNA
Rfam family: Bacterial small subunit ribosomal RNA
Source: RNAcentral
AUUGAACGCUGGCGGCAUGCCUUACACAUGCAAGUCGAACGGCAGCACGGGUGCUUGCACCUGGUGGCGAGUGGCGAACGGGUGAGUAAUACAUCGGAACAUGUCCUGUAGUGGGGGAUAGCCCGGCGAAAGCCGGAUUAAUACCGCAUACGAUCUACGGAUGAAAGCGGGGGACCUUCGGGCCUCGCGCUAUAGGGUUGGCCGAUGGCUGAUUAGCUAGUUGGUGGGGUAAAGGCCUACCAAGGCGACGAUCAGUAGCUGGUCUGAGAGGACGACCAGCAACACUGGGACUGAGACACGGCCCAGACUCCUACGGGAGGCAGCAGUGGGGAAUUUUGGACAAUGGGCGAAAGCCUGAUCCAGCAAUGCCGCGUGUGUGAAGAAGGCCUUCGGGUUGUAAAGCACUUUUGUCCGGAAAGAAAUCCUUGGCCCUAAUACGGUCGGGGGAUGACGGUACCGGAAGAAUAAGCACCGGCUAACUACGUG